RNAcentral lists this ribosomal RNA (253 nucleotides) under uncultured bacterium. Its description in RNAcentral is "partial 16S ribosomal RNA". It matches the Rfam family "Bacterial small subunit ribosomal RNA", at positions 524 to 776 of the family's 1533-position model. The record is from RNAcentral.
UACGAGGGGGGCAAAUGUUGUUCGGAAUCACUGGGCGUAAAGGGAGCGUAGGCGGGCUUCUAAGUUAGGUGUUUAAUCCCAGGGCCCAACCCUGGUCAGGCACCUAAAACUGGGAGUCUUGAAUAGUGGAGAGGUCAGUGGAAUUGGGGGUGUAGCGGUGGAAUGCGUAGAGAUCCCCAAGAACACCAGUUGCGAAGGCGGCUGACUGGACACAUAUUGACGCUGAGGCUCGAAAGCAUGGGGAGCAAACAGG